UACGGAGGGUGCAAGCGUUAUCCGGAUUCACUGGGUUUAAAGGGUGCGUAGGCGGACAGGUAAGUCAGUGGUGAAAUCUCCGAGCUUAACUCGGAAACUGCCUUUGAUACUCUCUGUCUUGAAUAUGGUGGAGGUAAGCGGAAUAUGUCAUGUAGCGGUGAAAUGCUUAGAGAUGACAUAGAACACCUAUUGCGAAGGCAGCUUACUACGCCUAUAUUGACGCUGAGGCACGAAAGCGUGGGGAUCAAACAGG
Molecule: ribosomal RNA, 253 nt
Filed under: uncultured bacterium
Lineage: Bacteria
Description: partial 16S ribosomal RNA
Rfam family: Bacterial small subunit ribosomal RNA
Source: RNAcentral